GGCAACGGGCCGCCAAGGAGCUCAGCCGGGCGGCCGCCACCCAGGGGGCAAUCGAGACGCGUGCCGUCGGGAGACAUGGCCCGCUCGCCCGUCGCUCUGCGGCGAGAGGACAAGUUCGACGGUGAGGCGGGGUAGAGGAACUAAGACAACGAGGGGGAGGAGGAGGAGGGGGAGGGGAGGUUUGCUGGGGGGGACACGGUCCGGCGACGCCAUGCCCAAGCUAACCGAUGGCUUCGACCUCGGCGACCAGGGCCGGUGCAUCACUGCCGCCUCCAAGCACAUCGUUACCAUCGUCAGAAUGAUGACCCGACAAUUGUCCAUUGGGGUGCAUAAUCAGAGAGUGUUCAGCAGCAGGCAAGAUCACGAGUGCUUGCUUCUCUACCCGGUCGACAUGUAAAUAUGCCUGUGUAGGUGCUCAAGAGCACAAAUUUCAGCAGUUGGAUCGCUGUUGAUGAUGACCAGAUAAGGCAGAUCAUUCCAUCGAUUCGCCGCGCCUGCCCCUCCAUACAUGACCCUUGCGCCUCCCAGGCCUAUCCCCUUCCCUGCAGAUUCUGCAGCCUUCGACCCCAUGGACGCCACACAUCCGUUGCAAGCAAUCUUCUACUUCCCCAUCGGAGGCCUGCCUCACAGUCUCUUCGAACUUCCUUCCCCGUCGGCGGCCUACCUCACAAUCUCUUCGACACUUCCCUCCCGCCUACCUCACAAUCUCUUCGACACUAACCUCCCUGUCCUCCUGCAUCCCUGGCUUGGCCCGCUCCUUGCAUUGCCACCGACGACCCCGCGGACGCAGCACAUGCCGUUGUUGAUAAUCAGGCUUCACAAUAAGGAGAAUAGGGUUAAUUAGUUGCUACUGGAAGUGGAGAGAUUGUCUACGCAGAGCGCUUAGAGAAAAGAGUGAGUGGUUCCAUUUUGUGUAGAGGGAAUGUUCGCAAUGCAUCUUAAAUUUUAGAGAGAAAUGAACCCAUAAAGAAUUCAGCAUUGUGUGUUUGUUAACGUAUCCCGACAGUAUAAAUGAACCCAUGAAGAAUGUUCAGAUUUCUUUCAAUGGUCAGUAGUAGAUUUGUUCACAAAACAAUUAUAUUACAGGUUAACUUGUCUAUAAUAUCGCUUCAUAUUUGUGUGUUUUAAGGUGAAUUUACUACAGAUCGUGGUAUCUAUAGGAGGUCAAUGUCCAUGAAUUGCAUUGCUGCUAGCUGCAGGCAUCAAGUAAUCCUAUCAAGACUGCUUUGAUGUUGUGGUCCGACUAAGCAUCAAACAUUUGUAUGCACAUAUAGCGACAAAGUGUGCAAUGGAGGUUCAUGAAAGCAUAUUAUGUAUAUUUUUGCAGUAUAUGAUCCUGGAGCCCUUUCAGGCUAUAGGUUGUGUCCAAGAGCCUUUUUGGAACAAAGCUUCAUCUACCACACUGAUGCUGAGAUUGCUGGUAACCUGCAUGUGACCUCUUGUCCUGGUAAUAUGAUGUUUCCUCUAUUUAUUUUAUAUAAUCAACCGCAGCUAUUUUCUGAAAUUAUUGGUCGACGACACCCUUUUUGGUAUAUCUUUUGUUUUCAAAACUCCUCCAUACUGGGCGCAAAACGUUUGCUACUCUUAAUGUUGGUUUAAGUUGAUGGGUUUCACAUUGGAUAGUGACACUGACAAUUUUUGCGAAUGUGAUGUAUCAACAUUCUCACAGAAUGCAACUGGUUGCAGAAAAGCAUUACCUUGUUACUAGGUGAAAUAAUUAAGUCUUACUUGGGCAAACUUUCUAAAAAUAUUGUUAUGGCUUGCACUAAUGAGAAAGCUUGAUUAGAGAUUAAGCUCUACAAUAACAGCACUCCUUUUUAAGGUAUGCAUAUGCAGCUCAAGCAUAGUAAGACAUGGUUCUUGUUGUUUCUCAUUGCCUUACUAUGUUCCAUAUUGUUCAUUGAGCUACAUUGUAAAUUCACUCUUGAACAAAUUCUUUGAAUUAAUAAAUCACCUCAUGGUCAUAGAUAGCAUGUUGGAAGAAACCCAACCUAAUGUGCAAACCGCUAACAUUGCAUUAAAUAGGCAUGGGAUUGAAACAAUAUUAUGAAAAGUUGGGAAUCCAUUUUUUAGAUAGCUUUGUGUAGUUUGUGUUACUUUUUGUGACAAGCUACUUUCUCCUUAAACAAUUAAUUUGAUUUCUUGAACAUUUAUAUAUUUUCAAAAUGCAAAAAACAUUACCGGAGAUGAUUGAAGACUAGCAAUUGAAGAUUUACUUCAUUUAGGCACCCUGAUUUAACCCAUGUAUGCCUUUAUUUUUUCGGGGGAAGCAUAUGUAUGCCUGAACGAGGAGAUUUGUAAAGUUAAGUUCUUUCUUGUGUAGAAGGUAUUGGACCGAUAUAUGCUUCUCCUCUUGUAUUUACUUCUUGCUUGGGCACUUGAACUGAUGUAAGGCUGAUGUUUUCUAGCCAACUUAUAAUCUCAUUUGCAGGUAUUUCUAAGUUUGGAUGUUUUUUUGUUUCCAUUUAUAAUUCCUAAACAUCCAUUUAUUUUGCAAUGUUGCACAAAAACUAUAUUUUGUGUAACUAUUAGUAAUCAAAAUAAUUGUUGUUCAAACAUUAUUUUGUGAUGAGUAAUUUUAUUUAAACUCCAACAAUUCCAUGUCACCGGUGAUGGAAAUAGAUCUUGCAACUCCAACAACAGAGACCUAAUUAAGUACAGUUUUCCAUAUUUAUUUUUUUCCAAAUGUUGAAUUGACCUCACAACCUUAAUGUAGUACUAGAUUUAUAGUAUUCUUCAUAUUAUGUAUUUGUCGACUGUGUGAGGUGGAUUUUCACUUGGCGGUGUUGGAGCACGGUGCAUUGCUAGAAAAGAAGACAGAGGUCGGGGCGACCAGACGAGAUAUGAUGGGAGGGGAAUGACACGGGAAGAUCCAGGUGACUUGGAUGCAGUGUUUGAGAGGUACACAGCCCCUGGAAUUCGCAUUAGAUUUAGAUAGUCUCUUUGAUAAGUUGUGGGUAUGAGUAACAAUGAACUGAGUGUCACUUACGAACGUAUAUGAUGUAUUGUUAUUUUUACUGGAUAUGGUGUAACAA
This is a long non-coding RNA of Triticum aestivum (bread wheat), 3035 nucleotides long. RefSeq lists it as uncharacterized. The transcript is spliced from 5 exons. The record is from RefSeq and is a predicted model, not a curated record. Lineage: Eukaryota; Viridiplantae; Streptophyta; Magnoliopsida; Poales; Poaceae.